RNAcentral lists this transfer RNA (72 nucleotides) under Camelus bactrianus (Bactrian camel). It matches the Rfam family "tRNA". From Rfam's summary of the family: Transfer RNA (tRNA) molecules are approximately 80 nucleotides in length. Their secondary structure includes four short double-helical elements and three loops (D, anti-codon, and T loops). Further hydrogen bonds mediate the characteristic L-shaped molecular structure. tRNAs have two regions of fundamental functional importance: the anti-codon, which is responsible for specific mRNA codon recognition, and the 3' end, to which the tRNAs corresponding amino acid is attached (by aminoacyl-tRNA synthetases). tRNAs cope with the degeneracy of the genetic code in two manners: having more than one tRNA (with a specific anti-codon) for a particular amino acid; and 'wobble' base-pairing, i.e. permitting non-standard base-pairing at the 3rd anti-codon position. RNAcentral also lists the same sequence under 2 other names. Lineage: Eukaryota; Metazoa; Chordata; Mammalia; Artiodactyla; Camelidae. The record is from Rfam by way of RNAcentral.
GAGGGUAUAGCUCUGUGGUAGAGUGCAUGCUUAGCAUGCAUGAGGUCCUGGGUUCAAUCCCCAGUACCUACA